UUAAGACUAGAUGGUGGAUCCCUACAUAGCGGGUGGGACCCACGGCGAAUGCUUCAUCAAGUCUUCAAAAAAGAAUAUAUACGAUUGCAUUGCAUAUACUAACGGAUGCGAUCAUACCAGCACUAAUGCACCGGAUCCCAUCAGAACUCCGCAGUUAAGCGUGCUUGGGCGAGAUAGUAGUAGGAUGGGUGACCUCCCGGGAAGUCCUCGUGUUGCAUCCCUCUUUUAUGUUUAACCUUUUUUUUUU
Molecule: ribosomal RNA, 247 nt
Filed under: Arabidopsis thaliana (thale cress)
Lineage: Eukaryota; Viridiplantae; Streptophyta; Magnoliopsida; Brassicales; Brassicaceae
Source: RNAcentral